Molecule: ribosomal RNA, 113 nt
Filed under: Periophthalmus magnuspinnatus
Lineage: Eukaryota; Metazoa; Chordata; Actinopteri; Gobiiformes; Gobiidae
Source: RNAcentral
AUUAAAGGCCACACCAGCUUGUCGAAGCCUGAUCUUGUCAAAUCUCAGAAGUUAAGCAAGAUUGGGCCUGGUUAGUACUUGGGAGACCGCUGGGAACACCAGGUGCCACAGUG